This is a long non-coding RNA of Amblyraja radiata (thorny skate), 102 nucleotides long. RefSeq lists it as uncharacterized. The transcript has 3 exons. The record is from RefSeq and is a predicted model, not a curated record. Lineage: Eukaryota; Metazoa; Chordata; Chondrichthyes; Rajiformes; Rajidae.
CCGACUGGGCAACGAUUUUCCAGUUUCGCUAUCGCUGUAGCUUCAGCAGGGAAAGAGAUCUACUUCUAGCCGGUAAGGGGUUUUAAGAGAGAGUUGAGCAAG